RNAcentral lists this ribosomal RNA (429 nucleotides) under bacterium. RNAcentral's name for it is "partial 16S ribosomal RNA". It matches the Rfam family "Bacterial small subunit ribosomal RNA", at positions 355 to 776 of the family's 1533-position model. The record is from RNAcentral.
UAGGGAAUCUUCCACAAUGGACGCAAGUCUGAUGGAGCAACGCCGCGUGAGUGAAGAAGGUUUUCGGAUCGUAAAGCUCUGUUGUUGGUGAAGAAGGAUAGAGGCAGUAACUGGUCUUUAUUUGACGGUAAUCAACCAGAAAGUCACGGCUAACUACGUGCCAGCAGCCGCGGUAAUACGUAGGUGGCAAGCGUUGUCCUAAUUUAUUGGGCGUAAAGCGAGCGCAGGCGGAAUGAUAAGUCUGAUGUGAAAGCCCACGGCUCAACCGUGGAACUGCAUCGGAAACUGUCAUUCUUGAGUGCAGAAGAGGAGAGUGGAAUUCCAUGUGUAGCGGUGGAAUGCGUAGAUAUAUGGAAGAACACCAGUGGCGAAGGCGGCUCUCUGGUCUGCAACUGACGCUGAGGCUCGAAAGCAUGGGUAGCGAACAGG